GUCCCUGUAGCGAAAUGGUUAGCGUAUUGGACUUCUAAUCCAAAGGUCAUGAAUUCGAAUUCCACCUGGGAUG
RNAcentral lists this transfer RNA (73 nucleotides) under Trichonephila clavipes. It matches the Rfam family "tRNA". From Rfam's summary of the family: Transfer RNA (tRNA) molecules are approximately 80 nucleotides in length. Their secondary structure includes four short double-helical elements and three loops (D, anti-codon, and T loops). Lineage: Eukaryota; Metazoa; Arthropoda; Arachnida; Araneae; Nephilidae. The record is from Rfam by way of RNAcentral.